Molecule: long non-coding RNA, 689 nt
Organism: Pollicipes pollicipes
Lineage: Eukaryota; Metazoa; Arthropoda; Thecostraca; Pollicipedomorpha; Pollicipedidae
Exons: 3
Source: RefSeq, a predicted model, not a curated record
CGGGAGCGGGGGUGCGGGAGCACGUCAAGCCAAGCCAAGCGGCUCGGACCGGGUCGCCGCGGCGCAGCUGUGGGUCCUCACCAGACAGCCGCUUGUUCGCCAGACAGCCGCUUGGCGCUUCCGCACGUUGAUAUAGUCCGCUCCAAAAUGUGGACAACCCCCGCCAUCGUCUGCGGCGUCUGCCUGGCGUUAGUGACGUCCUCCCCGGCCAUCGACGACGCCGCCCCCGAUAACUACGUCUACGACUAUGACGACUACGCCGACUACGGCCCGACCAAGGAAUCGCUGCCGUUCACUAUCUUCGACGACGUAAAGCCGCGUCCGCCUGCGCCUGACGUCAAGCUGCCGUCAGCCUGCGCCUGGGCUGUGGUCCAGUGCUGCGCCAACCCUGACGCCAUGGGAAGCCGAAUCGGCUGUUUUUCAAACGUUGGUUGCUCCGGUGCCUGGCUACAAGACUUCUGCAAACCAGAAACCAAACAGCUAGUGCUGAAAAUGGUUUUGCAAUCUUUCCAGUUGACGCAUAAGAAAUAGGGUUGGCUAUUUGGGCGCUGCAACUGUUGUUGACGCAAUUCUAUAAUUUCAUGGUCAUUUGUCGCCGCGAAAUGCUGGAGUUUUAUGUCAAAAUUGACUCAAAAUCCGGCGUUUUCCGUUUGCGGUCAUGACAAUUUCUGCAUGGUCAACACGAUCAC